This is a long non-coding RNA of Brassica oleracea var. oleracea, 498 nucleotides long. RefSeq lists it as uncharacterized. The transcript has 2 exons. Lineage: Eukaryota; Viridiplantae; Streptophyta; Magnoliopsida; Brassicales; Brassicaceae. The record is from RefSeq and is a predicted model, not a curated record.
UAUAGCUCUUAAUCUGUGUUUAAAAAGGCGCUCGCCUUGAGCCUAGGCGAUAGCUCCAUCGCCAUGCACAUCCCAGGCGAGGGUAUGGUCCCUAAGGCGCUCGCCUAGUGCGCUUUGGCCAUAAGGCGGUGCCUUCAAAGGCGACGCAAAGGCGCGCGUUGGAGACCCUAUGUUAACCGACACUAAACCAGUUUCAAGUGGUCUUCAAGGCGAGCGCCUCGAUGCGCCAUGGCACAAGGCGCAAGGCACAUACUUCAUCGCCAUGGAGCGCCAUACGCCUUUUUAAACACAGUUUGUAAACGGAUAAAAUAUACAAAAGAACCAGUAGUGAUACCACAGAAGUCAGAGAGCACAAAUCGAGAACUGAACUAAGCUAUGGUUCGAUUCUAGAAUAAUGAAUUCGUUUAAACCGAAACAAAAUUUGAUGAAAACGGCGUGAAUCACACAAGAAGCAGAGACAUACAAGAAACCACAAAGUAGCCACUUUAGACAUUAUAA